UUGCAGCCAAAUCACGUUGGAACACCGGUUCUCGUACGAUCACCGAAGUUAAGCAACGUCGAGCCGGGUGACUAAAUGGGUGACUGCUUUGGAAUACCAGGUACUGUUA
This is a non-coding RNA of Acanthosepion pharaonis, 109 nucleotides long. The record is from the annotation of a GenBank genome assembly. NCBI's taxonomy places the organism in Eukaryota, Metazoa, Mollusca, Cephalopoda, Sepiida, Sepiidae.